Stegostoma tigrinum is the source of this 1026-nucleotide long non-coding RNA. RefSeq lists it as uncharacterized. NCBI's taxonomy places the organism in Eukaryota, Metazoa, Chordata, Chondrichthyes, Orectolobiformes, Stegostomatidae. The transcript is spliced from 3 exons. The record is from RefSeq and is a predicted model, not a curated record.
UGGUGGGAGGCUUUUGGUUUCUUUUUUUUUAAAAAGAACUGAAUGAAAAGUUGCUGAGAUUCGUUGCUUUCCCUUCUUGGCGUGUCAGUAUCACCCCAACACUCCUACAGGGACAAGUUUUCCUGCUGCCGUACUGAGGGGUUGGAUUAAAGAACGAUAUUAAGCUUUAGCAAAAUUGGGCCGCGGGCCAGCGCCUCUUAUCUGCUGCAGUGUUUCGUAUGAAAAAUUGCUUGCUUCCAAAUAUCCCAGUCUCGGAGACUUGGACUUGAAUAUUAACACCGCUCACUCCCAAUAGACACUGCAGUCUGCAGCAGGAGUCCUGUGCCUGGGUUUGUAGAGGGAAAUGGCUUGCGACUGAAAUCAAAAGCCCAGGAAGGGCCACCGCCACCACUGCUACAAGAGGCUACUGGUUGUAAUCGUAAGAUCGUAUGGCCCUUCCCUUCCUCUGGGUUAUCACCCCAGAGAAAAUAGUUUGUUCUUUAUCUGCUCUGUCAAAUCUAUCUCAUCAUCAUCAGACACCUUGUUUCGUUCAUCACUUAUGCAUCUAAACUCGAGGGAAAACAAACAAGUGUGGACUGCAAGACUUCUCAAUUUUAUUGUAACAAUUUGGCCCAGGUAUUGUUCUGACAGUCAAGCACGGGAGGCUUGAAGAUAAUUCUGACUGGAGCAGGGACAAUUGUGUGCUAGCUACCUUAGUUGCCUUGUUCUCAUCUGGUUGUGGGGCCAGGGGGGAAUUUAAAAAAAAAUCUACUGACUCGACUGGCAGGAAAGCUUUCAUAGCAGAAAUGAAAGCAGAAAGUACAGGAGAAACUCACCAAGUCUGGUAGCAUCUAUGCAGACAGAAAAAUAGAGUUAAUGUUUCAAGUCUACCUCGUAAUAGAAUCUGCACCCUCUCUGUAGCUGUUACACCAUAUUCUGCGUUCUGUUCUAUUACCCUGAUGUACUUGUGCAAGGUAUGAUUUGUCUGGUUUGCACACAACAGUACUUUUCACUGUAUCUCAGGACAUGUGACAAUAAUAAAAUCAA